GUUAUUUGCUUCCAGAGAAUAGAAAUUUCUUCCAUGAUUCAGUGCAUAAUAUUUUGACUUGUCUUUCUUGCUAGUAGACUUUCAUGCUCUCACUCUCUCUCUCUCCCUCUCUCUCUGUCUCUCUCACUGGCAGAAGAAAUCUUAAAAGUUUGAGAAGAAAAUAUGGUAAAUAACUAAGAGAAAUCUCUGGUCAAUACUCAACAAGUCCUUCAGUCCAACAAUAUUCCAUACAUGAAAUCCUGCCAAAAACCAGACUCAGCACCAAACACACGAGAUGAAACAUAAGAUGCAUAAACACAACCCUUGCCUUUGAAGAAAAUUUGCACUAAUGGCAGAGAUGGGUGCUGUAUGAGUGAGCUGUGGCUGCCAUAGCAAGACAUCAUAGAUUGGAUGGCUUAAACAACAGAAAUUUAUUUUUUCACAGUUCUGGAGGCCAGAAAUCCCCAAUAAAGGUACUGACUGAUUAGGUGAGGGCUUUAUUUCUGCUGACAGACAACCACCUUCUUGUUGAGUUUUUAUACGGUCUUUUCUCUGUGGCUCAUAGAGAGAGACAGAGAGAGCUCUGGUGUUUUUUCCUCUUCUUAUU
Molecule: long non-coding RNA, 586 nt
Filed under: Homo sapiens (human)
Lineage: Eukaryota; Metazoa; Chordata; Mammalia; Primates; Hominidae
Description: HSALNT0318586
Source: RNAcentral